This 2025-nucleotide long non-coding RNA is filed under the name Cucumis sativus (cucumber). RNAcentral describes it as "long non-coding RNA (CSAT_LNC002933)". Lineage: Eukaryota; Viridiplantae; Streptophyta; Magnoliopsida; Cucurbitales; Cucurbitaceae. The record is from RNAcentral.
UGAAAUAGAACUUCAUUGUUAUUAGCAUCGAUUUAAGCAUCUUGAUCUAAAUAUGAAUGAAGAAACUCUUACAAUGUUUGUAGCAUCGGUAGACUGAAUAUGUACAGAGAUAUCUCACCCUUCAAUCCGCUUGAAGACAAGUUUCUGGUAUAACAAAGUUCAUUUCUCUCUUAUUGAAAAUUUUAGGGGGUAGGAUAGUCUAAUUCUCUCGUAUGUACUCAAUCGAAUUGAAAUGUAUGUGUUAAUUUUUAACUUAAAAUGUAAACUUACAGUGAUAUGAUUCUAGGGACUAAAUCAGUACUGCAGCUCAAACCACUCCAUGGAUAUGCUCUUGGCACACAUGGAUCCCCUUCCCAAUUUUUUAUUACGCCAUAAGUUGAUCGAACGUUACUGAUUGCAUCCACUGAUUUUCCAACAUGUCAUCCAUAAAUCCAAAGUUAUAAGUCAAAAGCGUUACUUUGAACAAAGAAACAAAAAGAAGUUAACAUACCAUCACCAUUGUAUGAUUCUAGUUCGGAGAUCUGCAUCUCAACAUAAAUUUCUAAAGCAUUCAUGAUUGGAGGAAGAGUUGAAUUUUCUAUUGGGAAGAGUGAAAAUUGGUGUGUUGAUGCUGUCUGUAUAGUUGAAAAAAUAUCAUAAGAUGUUGUUGUGCUUAAAUAUCGAGGAAUAAUAGGCCCAUCCCAAUGUUCCCCAUUAUGAGUGAUGUUAAAUCCUCUGAAUUGGUUGCUCUGAAGCUUUUCAAGUUCAGCAAAGUGCAUAUAUGCAUAAAAGUUAUCAUUAUCGUUUGCUGAGUACCAUGUGAAAUUAAGGUACUUGGACCCUUUCUUUGGAGUCGCAGCAGUUUUCAUGACUAUGGGCGCUGGUUGGAAACUAUUAGAACCAUAAGCAUCUACAGAAUCAGAGGUACUUAGUGUUGCAUAGUUAUCAUCAUUGUAUGCUUCCCAUGCUCGAUCGUAAAUAUCAUCAGGAUACCUAAAGAAAACACACCAUGUUUACACAUACGAGUAUGUUUCGUUAGUAUUCAUGUUUGAGAGUGAUUUUAAAAUUAUUUAAAUCAGGUUCGAAACUACUAUGAACAUGUCUGGAAUCAUUCAAAAUAUGUUCAACUUUUGAAGGUCAUUUUUAUAUUCAAAUGAAUACAGAUAUGUUUAAGAGUGAUUUUAACCUUUCAAAACUACUCUCAAACAAAUUAUUGUUAAAGGAUAGUGAUAUGAACCGAACCUGUAUUGCUCAUUUGUUAUUGACCCCAUAUCGUAUCGACUAUAAAGGUACAAGGAAUAUAAAGUAAAGUAACUGAGAUAAGGAAGUUCUCUGAACUCUAAAGAUGAGAUGAAUGGUGUUCCCUGGCCAAUGUUGAUAAGACAGAUUUGCAAUUUAUUUGUUGAAGGUGUGUGGAUCAUCUCUGUGUAGUAGCUAUCAUCCACUCUUGUCCAUCGAGUAUUGCCCAAAUACAGAUCAAAUUUAGGAGUUUUGUUGAGCCCAUCAUAAUUUCCAUACAAGAAACUUGCUCGAAUCAAAUAUUUAGUGUCUUUAAUGGCACUUAUAUUGUAACAGUUUCUAAUUUCUUGAGGAAAACUUCUUAGAGUCCAUUGGGAUCGUUCAUAUGUCAGGAAUUCAGGCGCUACACUUUUACUUUCACCUGUCUUUAUAUAUUCUGAAUCUGAAAUAUACUUUAUAUUUGUGUCUAGAUCAUUGUAGCCUGAUGAAUUUGCUGGCAGACCACAAUCUAGACUAAGAAAGCCUGGAGAAUCAUUACUUGUAAGUCAUAUAUUUAAACUAUUUUGUUUUUUUUUUUUUCUUCCAAAAAAACAACAAACAGAGAUAGUUAUUAAACAUAUUAAUGUUUUUAGUUCUUUAGAUGAAGGUUAUCAAAUGAAAAGUUGAAGGGAUGAAAGUUAAAGGAAGUUACUUGUUUCAUCUUGAGCCUGAACAAUGAGGAAACAGAAACUAAAUAGAAGCCACCUUAACAUUGCAAUUUCCAUUGGGAAACUCUGAGCUCCUGAAGCUUGGCUACUUGCUUCCUUC